This 21-nucleotide microRNA is filed under the name Homo sapiens (human). Its description in RNAcentral is "hsa-miR-548aj-3p". Its record names the gene hsa-miR-548aj-3p. Lineage: Eukaryota; Metazoa; Chordata; Mammalia; Primates; Hominidae. The record is from miRBase by way of RNAcentral.
UAAAAACUGCAAUUACUUUUA